UGGCAGGGGCGGCGUGCUAUAAUGCAAGUCGAACGCACUCUCGUUUAGAUUGAAGGAGCUUGCUCCUGAUUGAUAAACAUUUGAGUGAGUGGCGGACGGGUGAGUAACACGUGGGUAACCUGCCCUAAAGUGGGGGAUAACAUUUGGAAACAGAUGCUAAUACCGCAUAAAACCUAACACCGCAUGGUGUAGGGUUGAAAGAUGGUUUCGGCUAUCACUUUAGGAUGGACCCGCGGUGCAUUAGUUAGUUGGUGAGGUAAAGGCUCACCAAGACCGUGAUGCAUAGCCGACCUGAGAGGGUAAUCGGCCACACUGGGACUGAGACACGGCCCAGACUCCUACGGGAGGCAGCAGUAGGGAAUCUUCCACAAUGGACGAAAGUCUGAUGGAGCAACGCCGCGUGAGUGAAGAAGGUUUUCGGAUCGUAAAACUCUGUUGUUGGAGAAGAAUGUAUCUGAUAGUAACUGAUCAGGUAGUGACGGUAUCCAACCAGAAAGCCACGGCUAACUACGUGCCAGCAGCCGCGGUAAUACGUAGGUGGCAAGCGUUGUCCGGAUUUAUUGGGCGUAAAGCGAGCGCAGGCGGUUUCUUAAGUCUGAUGUGAAAGCCUUCGGCUCAACCGAAGAAGUGCAUCGGAAACUGGGAAACUUGAGUGCAGAAGAGGACAGUGGAACUCCAUGUGUAGCGGUGAAAUGCGUAGAUAUAUGGAAGAACACCAGUGGCGAAGGCGGCUGUCUGGUCUGUAACUGACGCUGAGGCUCGAAAGCAUGGGUAGCAAACAGGAUUAGAUACCCUGGUAGUCCAUGCCGUAAACGAUGAGUGCUAGGUGUUGGAGGGUUUCCGCCCUUCAGUGCCGCAGCUAACGCAUUAAGCACUCCGCCUGGGGAGUACGACCGCAAGGUUGAAACUCAAAGGAAUUGACGGGGGCCCGCACAAGCGGUGGAGCAUGUGGUUUAAUUCGAAGCAACGCGAAGAACCUUACCAGGUCUUGACAUCCUUUGACACUCUAGAGAUAGAGCUUUCCCUUCGGGGACAAAGUGACAGUGUGCAUGGUGUCGUCAGCUCGUGUCGUGAGAUGUGGGUAGUCCGCACGAGCGCACCCUUAUACUAGUGCCAGCAUUUAGUGGGCCCUCUAGUGAGACUGCCGGUGACAAACCGGAGGAAGGUGGGGACGACGUCAAUCAUCCAUGCCCC
RNAcentral lists this ribosomal RNA (1194 nucleotides) under Latilactobacillus sakei. RNAcentral's name for it is "bacterial SSU rRNA". It matches the Rfam family "Bacterial small subunit ribosomal RNA", at positions 31 to 1201 of the family's 1533-position model. Lineage: Bacteria; Bacillati; Bacillota; Bacilli; Lactobacillales; Lactobacillaceae. The record is from RNAcentral.